Molecule: ribosomal RNA, 253 nt
Filed under: uncultured bacterium
Lineage: Bacteria
Description: partial 16S ribosomal RNA
Rfam family: Bacterial small subunit ribosomal RNA
Source: RNAcentral
UACGUAGGGUGCAAGCGUUAAUCGGAAUUACUGGGCGUAAAGCGUGCGCAGGCGGCUUUGCAAGACAGAUGUGAAAUCCCCGGGCUUAACCUGGGAACUGCAUUUGUGACUGCAUCGCUGGAGUGCGGCAGAGGGGGAUGGAAUUCCGCGUGUAGCAGUGAAAUGCGUAGAUAUGCGGAGGAACACCGAUGGCGAAGGCAGCCCCCUGGGCUAGCACUGACGCUCAGGCACGAAAGCGUGGGGAGCAAACAGG